RNAcentral lists this unclassified non-coding RNA (416 nucleotides) under soil metagenome. Its description in RNAcentral is "partial contains 5.8S ribosomal RNA, internal transcribed spacer 2, and large subunit ribosomal RNA". The stretch from base 1 to 120 matches the Rfam family "5.8S ribosomal RNA", at positions 35 to 154 of the family's 154-position model. The record is from RNAcentral.
GAUGAAGAACGUAGCGAAAUGCGAUAAGUAAUGUGAAUUGCAGAAUUCAGUGAAUCAUCGAAUCUUUGAACGCACCUUGCGCUCCUUGGUAUUCCAAAGAGCAUGCCUGUUUGAGUAUCAUUAAAUUAUCAACUGUACCAAUUUGGUUGCAGAUUGGAUGUGGGAGAUUUUGCAGGCUUUUGAUUUCUCUUUGAGAAAACGGUCAGCUCUCCUGAAAUAUAUUAGCAGUGCCUUUGUUGGUUCAUUAGGUGUGAUAAUUUAUCUACAUCUUCACAUGGUACCUUCAUUUGUGUAAAGGUCAUAUUGCUUCUAAUUGUCUUUGGACAUAAAAAAAAAAAACAUAUAAUUGUAUGGAAAACUUGAUCUCAAAUCAGGCAGGACUACCCGCUGAACUUAAGCAUAUCAAUAAGCGAGGA